CGUUGGCGCCCUCUAGUGGCCAUGCCGGAGCAGCCCCGCACUGCCCGCUGGGAAGCGGGAGGCGCAGACUUGGGAAGCCUGGAGGCGGGAAGCGCACACGCUGGGAAGAGGGUGGCGCAGGAGGACGCUCGGCUCACCUGGUCCCGCUGAUCGCUUAGAUUCCACCCACAUCGGCCUAAGUAACCCAGAAAACCGCCAGAAGACUAGCAGAACGGACUCUCCGGAGCCAAGCGUAGACGAGAGGCCCACGGAAGAGGAUCCACCCCCUGGGAUCCGCUCGGUCGGUUCGUGGCCAGAUCCCAUCGAAGGAGCACCACAAGCCUGGCAGUGUGCGAGCAGCCCAGACGGGCCACACCACUCCACACGCAGGGGAAGUGCCCUGCAGUGUGGAGCUACCGGAUCUCUAGCAAACUCCGGGUCUGAUCCAGUGCGCCCCAGACCGACCCACUAACCGCACAGGGACCCGAUCCUGCCCACAACAGGUAGAGCCACUGCACGGAAGGCGAGCGCAGUUCAGCCACUGCAGUAGCAACUGCUACCGUAGCAACGCACACAGGGACGCCCCUGAAGCGCCAUCUUCCCGUUAACAGGGGACACUGCACCGCGGGGCACUACAGGACCUCGUCUUCCUAAGGCCACUGCUUUAAGUGCGGGAGACGCAGCUGACUUUGCUAACAGAGACACAGACGCAGCAGUAGACAAAAUGAGGAGACGGAGGAAUAGGUCCCAGAUGAAAGAACAGAACAAGACCACAGCGAGAGACGUAACCAAAACGGAGACGUGUUCUGUAACUGAUCUAGAAUUUAGAGUAACCCUCCUAAAGAUGUUGGCUACAGUCGAGGAAAGCCUGGAGAACAUCCAGAAAGACCUAAAACACCUAAAAAAGGACCGGGAAGAGAUGAUCAACUCACUAAAAGAAACGAACAAGAGACCAUCUGGAAAAAAUAAGAAAGAAGAGACCGGACAAGGGCAGAGCAGCAGCCCGGACAAAGUAGUGGAAAGUCACCAAGCUGAGCCAGUGAGAGCGAGAAAAGUUGUGCAAGAUGAGAACAGACCUAGGGAACUCCGUGACACCAUCAAGCGUAACAGUCGAGUUACAGGGGUUGCAGCAGGAGAAGAGAGAGAAAAGGAGGCAGAACAUUUAUUUGAGGAGAUAAAAGCUGAAAACUCCCUGAAUCUGGAGAAGGAAACAGAAACCCAGACCCAGGAGGCGCAGAGAGCCCCCCAAAAAACCAACCCGUAGAGUUCCAUACCAGGCCAGCCAGUAAAUAAAAUGGCAAAACCUAAGGAUAAAGAGAGAAUUUUAAAAGCAUCAAGAGGAGAGAAAGCAGUUGCAUCCAAGGAAAAUCCCUUAAGGCUAUCCGGAUUUUUCAGCAGAAACUUCAGAGAUUAGAAGGGAGCAGCAUGAUAUAUUCAGGUGCUAAGAGGCAAAAGUCUUCAGCCAAGAACACUGGCCGGCAAGGCUAUCCUUCAGAAUAGGAGAGAGUUUCCCAAACUAACAAAAGGGAAAGGAAUUCAUGGCAGGGAGGAAAACCAGCCACUUCCCUGUCACACACAACGCCACCGGCCUGUGGGUCCCAAAUCCACAGUCCAGCCACCCUCCUGCCGGAGUCUGCUUGUGGGCACUAAAAGAGACAAACCCAAA
Molecule: long non-coding RNA, 1645 nt
Organism: Herpailurus yagouaroundi (jaguarundi)
Lineage: Eukaryota; Metazoa; Chordata; Mammalia; Carnivora; Felidae
Exons: 3
Source: RefSeq, a predicted model, not a curated record